GAUGAACGCUGGCGGCGUGCCUAACACAUGCAAGUCGAGCGGAGGCGCCUGAAGAGCAAUCGGCGGGUGUCUGAGCGGCGGACGGGUGAGUAACGCGUGAGCGAUCUGCCUUUCACAGGGGGAUAACGCAGCGAAAGCUGCACUAAUACCGCAUGCGACCACGGUACUGAGGGUACAGGGGUCAAAGGAGAGAUCCGGGGAGAGAGGAGCUCGCGUCCGAUUAGGUAGUUGGUGAGGUAACGGCCCACCAAGCCAAUGAGCGGUAGCCGGCCUGAGAGGGUGAACGGCAACAUUGGAACUGAGAGACGGUCCAAACUCCUACGGGAGGCAGCAGUGGGGAAUAUUGGGCAAUGGGGGAAACCCUGACCCAGCAACGCCGCGUGAGGGAAGAAGGUUUUCGGAUUGUAAACCUCUGUUCUUGGAGAAGAGGAGAAGACGGUAUCCAAGGAGGAAGCCCCGGCUAACUACGUGCCAGCAGCCGCAGUAA
This 487-nucleotide ribosomal RNA is filed under the name uncultured bacterium. RNAcentral describes it as "partial 16S ribosomal RNA". It matches the Rfam family "Bacterial small subunit ribosomal RNA", at positions 28 to 523 of the family's 1533-position model. The record is from RNAcentral.